Suricata suricatta (meerkat) is the source of this 387-nucleotide long non-coding RNA. RefSeq lists it as uncharacterized. The transcript has 2 exons. NCBI's taxonomy places the organism in Eukaryota, Metazoa, Chordata, Mammalia, Carnivora, Herpestidae. The record is from RefSeq and is a predicted model, not a curated record.
CUGAGGACUCCUGUGCUUUCUUCCUCGUCCCCACACUUUAAGCACCUCUUCUUCACCUUUCCAAGCUCUUUCCUCCACCGGGAAGGACCGAAGACCUCUUUACUCUGAGUGUGCAUGUCAGAGCCGUACAGGACAGUCCAGCUUCUCCCAGGGCAGGAGCCCCUCCUCGGUCUCCCUCACAGGGCCCCGCACCUCUGCUUCCGCCCCCAGACAUGGAAGGGUCACAACCAGCGGCAGCCAUGUCCACCAGAAAAUGCUUUCCUGAUCCCUCCCCUCAGUGGUCUCAGCAACAACACUGAGAACCCGCAAAACCAAGUGGGUUACUUUUCUGCCUCUCAAUUAAUAAUAUGAUCAAAUAGGUCAUGAUUAAAGACCACUUAUUCUGGG